Molecule: long non-coding RNA, 263 nt
Filed under: Phoenix dactylifera (date palm)
Lineage: Eukaryota; Viridiplantae; Streptophyta; Magnoliopsida; Arecales; Arecaceae
Description: long non-coding RNA (PDAC_LNC011498)
Source: RNAcentral
CGAUUGACUAUUCGCAUCUCAUGCACACAUCCAUCUACCCGCUAUGCAUAGGCAUAAACAUUAAACAUCCAGGCAUAUAUAUAAGAAAGUAAAUGUAACUGGUGAUGAUCAUGGAUCCAGGAUGGGUCAUAGUACAAGCACAUGCACGUCAAUUGGUUUGAUCGUCUUCAACUCUUGACUCGAUCUUGAUCCCUUAGGUUCAAUUGUAAUCAACUCCUUGAUCCAUCUUCAAUCAACCUAUGAUCUUGAUCCGUGCAAAGCUU